UGAUAGCCCUAUCAAAAGAAGUACCCCCAAGUGGAUCUCCUCUGUAUGUCAGGUCUGUCUGAAGAGCCUAGCCUUUUGACUGUUUUGCUCUGGGCAAAAGUGAAAUGUUGCAUUCUUCAAAUCCACUUGCUAUGACUUGAACACUGGAUCACUCUUCAAGCAGAAGAAAUUUUUUGAGAUUAUCUUCAGGUGACUGACCAUUUC
Molecule: long non-coding RNA, 204 nt
Organism: Manacus vitellinus (golden-collared manakin)
Lineage: Eukaryota; Metazoa; Chordata; Aves; Passeriformes; Pipridae
Exons: 3
Source: RefSeq, a predicted model, not a curated record